CCUACGGGUGGCAGCAGUGAGGAAUAUUGGUCAAUGGGCGCGAGCCUGAACCAGCCAAGUAGCGUGAAGGAUGACUGCCCUACGGGUUGUAAACUUCUUUUAUAAAGGAAUAAAGUGAGGCACGUGUGCCUUUUUGUCUGUACUUUAUGAAUACGGAUCGGCUAACUCCGUGCCAGCAGCCGCGGUAAUACGGAGGAUCCGAGCGUUAUCCGGAUUUAUUGUGUGUAAAGGGAGCGUAGAUGGGUUGUUAAGUCAGUUGUGAAAGUUUGCGGCUCAACCGGAAAAUUGCAAUUGAUACUGGCAGUCUUGAGUACAGUAGAGGUGGGCGGAAUUCGUGGUGUAGCGGUGAAAUGCGUAGAUAUCACGAAGAACUCCGAUUGCGAAGGCAGCUUACGAGACUGCCACUGACAUUGAGGCUCGAAAGUGUGGGGAUCAAACAGGAGUAGAUACCCCGGUAGUC
RNAcentral lists this ribosomal RNA (460 nucleotides) under uncultured bacterium. RNAcentral describes it as "partial 16S ribosomal RNA". It matches the Rfam family "Bacterial small subunit ribosomal RNA", at positions 338 to 795 of the family's 1533-position model. The record is from RNAcentral.